Molecule: ribosomal RNA, 86 nt
Filed under: Pectobacterium brasiliense
Lineage: Bacteria; Pseudomonadati; Pseudomonadota; Gammaproteobacteria; Enterobacterales; Pectobacteriaceae
Source: RNAcentral
GACCCCAUGCCGAACUCAGAAGUGAAACGCCGUAGCGCCGAUGGUAGUGUGGGGCUUCCCCAUGUGAGAAUAGGGAACUGCCAGGC